UUUUUUUUUUUUUUUUGCGCUACAGGUUCGCUGCAUAGUUCCUUCACCGUAACAGGCACCAGGAAGCUGUUCGGGCGCAACAGGCGCCGAACAGGAGCUCUCGAGAAGAAAUAUUGAUGGCUGAAUCACAAAAAUUCAGGUUGCUUGCUUUCCAUAAGAAAAGGCCCAUCGAUGGCCCAUAUAAAAGGUCAGGAGUUGCAGCGAUUUGAGGGCCUAGCAGCAACAUGGCCCGAUAGGAAGGCACACGUGCUUACGGAAAACAUUAGCAAUCGUUUCACGUACAUGCAUAGAUUUGGACUACCAAUUGAUUAACGAUUAGUACCACCUCGGAUAUCAAGAAAAAUAUCAAAAUCAAGAAAAAACGGACAAGAAAAAGCGUAUUAUGACAUGGGAAGAAAGCGUAUUGUGACAGUGAACCUGACAAAGCCGAUCCGUGCUUUAUUAUUAUAAAAAAAAAUAACUAGUACAAAUGCCCGUGCGUUGCACCAGGCAAAAAAAUGGCAGAACCUGCUUCAUGGGUUAUUUUUCUGUCGGUGUAGGUGGCUAUAUCAUACAUUCCUAGUACAAAGAUGGGUAAAUAUCAUGAUUGUUUUCGAGUUAAUCAAGCAACAACGAUGCAAUAGUAAACAAAGAUACAAAACGGCAACCAUGGUGAUCAUUCUAUGAAAUAGUAUAUGAUAACCUCAUACAUAUUCGCAGUACAAUCGUAAAUAAAAUGAUUAAUUAGAGGAAAAUGCAUCAUUUUCUUUUUUUUAGUACUUGGGGAAGGACAAAUAGUAUAAUGUGACAUCAGACCAGCAACUUCCUUGAAUCUGACAUGCUUAUAUCAUUUCAUACUAUGACCUUGCACUCGAGAAUCAAAUGGAAGCAUGAUAGACUGUUUCUUCUAGCUAAUUAUAAUAUGGACAGUAUAUAAUAUAGGCUUGACAAUAACAGUACAGCAUCGAUAAUGUAUUCAUAUGGGGCCUUCCAAACAGGUGUAAACUUCAGAAACAUAUGUUGUUUAUCUUUUAAUCCUCUUUUCAGGCAAGAAAAUGGUGGAUUAUAGAUUAUCACUUGUGAUCAUAAUCACAACGGAAGUACAAUGCGAUCGUCAUAUAAAAACAUAAACACGAUAUAUUUGGCAUAAAAACACGACAAAGGGGGGAAUUUGCUUGUCCAACAAGGCCUAUAGAACUGUCAUUAAAAAUAAUAACAAUUGUCCAGCAAACACAUGCAUUUCACAUACAGUAGUAGCAUAUAGAGUUCUUUGUUAAUAAAUCAGGCCAUAUUCGCAUGCAUUGAAACAUCUUAUAAUCCAGACUAUGCACGUCUACCAUCCUGUUAAAAAUUGACACCAUGGGUGUGCAAAACUGUAGAGUAGAAAACCAGCAUGAUAUGCACGUCUACCAUCCUGUACAUCUGAAUAUAGCUUGUACUGUGUGCAGCCUAAAUAUAGUCGAAUCUAGGUACAAAACCAAAGCAACUGAAAAUAUCAAGGGAGUUAAAUCGCCAAAUCUAUUGACCAAUAUCUGAAAAAGAAUUAUUAACGUCGGUCCAUUCUGGAGUAAGUUUAUAAGCUGCACUAUCAUCAAAUCUUCUCGAAAACAAAAAUGAUGCUUUGCUAGCAGGAUGAAAAAAAUAGUGCAUCUCACUGUUACAUAUCACUAACCAUAAAUGACAUAGAGCAAGAAUCUUGUUCAUAUUAACAGUGAUCAUAAAAUUGAAUUUAUAUGUACUAAUUAGUGGUCACUAUAAGAGAUGACUACACAACAGAAGAAAACAAAAAAGUAUAUGUAACUAAACCAUAUCAGAUUGACUCCUAUUUGUAUGGUUCGUCCAUCCAAUGUAUGCCUGAUGUGUAACAAAAAUUAUUUGAACAUAGUAUAUGCUCCAGUUUUCACCACUGGAACACCAUAUAGGGAUCACAAACAUAUGGUUUGUGGUGCAGGAUUCUAUAUAUUGAAUGCAAGCAUCAUGCGAAAUAUCAACCAGAGAAUCAUGUGUUCCAAUGCAACAGUACUACUAUAGUUUAUCCUAUUGGUUCCAGUAGUUUAUCAUAUCAGUUCUCACAAAACUAACUGGAUAACUAUGCACAUCAUUUUCGAUAACGUUGACAUGCAGGCAAAAAGAAUCAAAUAUUCGGUUCUAGGUGCAGAUAAGUCUGAUGUAUUUGUGGCACCACGACAAAGCAAAGAGUUAUUUGUUAAAAUUGACUUACAUAUCAAUAUGUUGAGUGAGCGCUGCACCAAAGAGCACAGAUAAUUAGUACAAUACUGGAAGCUUUGGCUCAAAAAAAAAAAGGUUAACCUCUACUAUCGGUCAAGCACCAGUGAAUUACAAACGUGGACAUGAUGAAAUAAGAAACCAUAUAGGCGUAUUACAAGCAUGAGUGUGAAGCAAACAUAUCUUAGUUGUGGGCUCUAACCACUGAAAGGAACAUGAUAAGAGUAUUUGGAAGAGAUUAAAUACUUGAAGCAUCUAUUUUUUGAACCUUGACAUUUUAAUUCUCAGCAUAACCUCCAAACCUGUUGUUGCAACAUAAGAUUUGUCUAUGAUCUCAGCUGUAACAAUUCUCUGUUCUGUCACAAACUCUGCAGCAAAACAACAACAAUCAGUUGUGAGUAAGAUGAGAGAGACAGGUGGAUCUGCCAAGGGCGUAUGGGGUGAGAGAAGUACUAACAGAGUGGUAGGGAGAUGAACUUCGGGCAGAUGGUUUCUAGGAGAACUGCCGUAGGUGUGGAUUCCUGAAGAAAACAAAUGGUCCAUAACAAUUCAUGUGCAGCUGUGCAGUGAUUCGGCGCUAGGAGAUUAACUACCUGUAGAUGAAUCCACCAUGAAGCUGGGAUUUGGUAGAGGAGUGAUGGGGCAGCAAUGUAGAUGGAAGCAGGAAGGACAUUAGUGGAAAAUAUAACAAGUUAGUGGAACCAUUGUGUUACAUGUGUUGUUCUACAACAUAAACAGCAACAAAUUAUCCAAAGGUUGAGUAAAAAUGGUCCAAUGUUCAAUAUAAAAAUCCAAAGAAGCUAUUGCGCCAAAAGUAAACAUUUUAAGGUAGAAUACUAAACAUAAACUGCAGGGUUAAGGUAGCAUUAUUUUUGGACACUGCAUCUUAUGGGUACUGCAAAUUACGUCCAAAAAGUAUCUGAGAUCUAAAUCAGGGGCGCCAUCACAGACAAUCAAGUCCGCUUUACAUCCAUCAAAAUGCCUGAUACCGACGCUAAGGCUGCAUCAUUUUCCUUCCGGAGUAGAUCAUGUAGUUGGUCUGGGACACCAUCCGCAACCACAAAGUCUCCAUGAGCUUUGGAAAAGUUGGCUAGUUCAUGAGCCAGCCCAUUGUUUGUCCUUCUGACAGUCCUGAUGUGAUAUUUAUUCAAGGCAGAUUUAAUAUCAACAAUAAUUGGGUAGGACAAUGAUCUGCUUACAGAAUCAGCCCCUAGCUCCUUUCCCCUCUGCAUAGUCGAUCUCCACCACAAGGGAGCCUCAGGAUACGUUAUUCAGUCAAACCAGAAUAGCGUUGGCUUCGGCCUCCUCGACAAUUAUGCAUGCGCCCAGCUGCCUAUCGGCAAGCAAUUUUUGCAUCAUCUCUGGUACUCCAUGCACAUAGUUGAGCGUGAUUAUAGCAUUGUAGGCAACAAAAGGAAUCCAUAUGUAAUCUGAAUCUUCACUGAACUUUUUAGGUUUGACCAUACAGGAGCUCGAUCACACAAAAAUUGACAGCUCAAACUUUUACCCUUACCUGUCCACAUCAUCCAUGGCAUAUCCUCCACAUACUUGGCUUAACAUUGAGACGGUUCACCACCUUCAUCUCACACGACUUGUCACACUGCAUAUCCAUGAACAAAUCCAGUUAAUGUUCGACGACUGAAAAAAAUUCAAAGUAAAUCGACGGAUGCAUGAAUAAAUGGAUUGAUGCAUUGCAACGGGAGAAAAAAAAUCACACACACACCACCAAGCUCUAGGAGCUUUGCCUCCGACAUGGCAAUCAAGCAUACUCGGCGCCCAUGGCAAUGGGUCCCACGACGAUCUUGCACCCCUGCGGCUCAACCGGCGACGUCGUCGGCAAGUCAAGGCAGCGGUGAAGCAGGCGCGACACAGCUGCCACGAGCUGCUUGGCCGCCUUUCCUCAAAUUCAACACAACAACAAAGGGAACUUGGCUAGAGAUUGCAACUGAACACUUAGCUGCAGCAGAGAUGACUAAAACUGUCAAGAAUACAAAUUUGGCUGUGCGUUACAGUGGGACAUAUAGUGUAUAUGACGGCGGAAACGGGCAAGGAAAAAGAAUAGGAAAUUAUUAAAUUAGUUUUUAUUCCUGACAACAUCCUUUUGCCCUGCAUUACGUAUUGUAAUGAUGUCACAAGCAUGCUCCUGACGACAACGAUUCCCAUGUGCUGGAGACCUGCAGAGGAUGGAGAAAAGAAGGGCAAAAGAGGGAGGCUUGUAUCUAUCAAGCAUAAAUAUUUACUGAAUAAAAUCGAGCUAAUCCGUACCAACUUGGGCAGGAUUGUCGAAUAGCUUCCUCUUAUAUAGCAUCUACAUCAGAAAAUCCAGCACACCAAAUAUAUACAUAUGUUUAGCAAUGACACAGAAAUCAGAUUGUUUCAAAGAUAGUGAGGACCGACAGAGGGUCUUGAAGAAUUCUGACAAUGUAAACCGUAAUAGGUUACAACCUCCAUCACACAUGUAAUUUUAUCAAAUUGACAAGGAAAGUUAUAGGAAUUGUAGCCUAAAAAAUGGUUCCAUCUAAAUCAUGGUAUGUUCCUGUUUGAGAUCGUUUAUAGAAUCAAUAAAAUGUAACGACAUUAGGGAUCAAGGAUCAAAGAUCAAUUAAGAAAAUCAGGGAUGGGGGAAUCAUACUUACCUUGUUAAGAAUGACACUGAUGGAAUUAGUGAAGGGAUGUGUGGUACGCAGGCCAAUGGAUCCGUGUGUCCUUGAUACACACAUCUACAUACACGAAGGUUGAUGGGUUGAAACUUGAAAGGAGAUUGAUUCAUCUGUCGACCCGACAUACACGAACACGAUUUUGUAGAUGUUGUACCUGAACCUCCUGUAGGACUUGGAGGAGGUUGUCGGCGAGCCAGGCAUCGAAGUCCUCCCGCGCCGACGGCGCUUCACGGAGAGGAUGCGGAGGAUCUCGGAAAGCGUGGGGCAGCCGGUGUAAUCCUCCACGAGGGAGGCUCCACCGCCGCCUUCCAGCGGCGCGCGGCAGUCGGCGCAGCCGGCGCAGAGCGUGGCCCCGGGGGCGCCGAUUUGGCAGCGGAGGGCGGCGCGCGCUGCGGCGCAGGCGUCGCAGAGCGGAGCGCGCGGGUGGAGGCUCGCGAGCGGGCAGAGGUGCGUGCGCGGUGGUGGGCGGGUUGAGGUCGGCCGCGGCGGCGAGUGGUGCGGCGGUGGCUAGGGGAUUUGGCUCGGCCUAGCCAGGGUCGAGGCCAGGAGCCAGAUGUGUACGGGUAUUUUCUUUCAGCGAAUCGUUUUUUCGUGGCAGAUUAAUGCUGGAUUGCGGGUUGAACACACAAAAUCACAGGGACCUUUGUGCAAAAACGCCAUGACGGUGAACCCGACAAAGUCAAUGCGUGCUUUAUUAUUAUAGGGAAAGACUAGCACAAAUGCCCGUGCGUUGCACCGGGCGAAAAAGGGGCACAACUGGCUUCAUGUUCCAUUAUGCACCAUUAUAUAUCCAAUUUUAAUAAACAUCGAUAAUAAGGUUAAGCAGAUUAGUGUUUUUUAUAGCAUAGAAAACAUGCUCGUGCGUUGCAGCGGGAGUUUUAAAAAAUAGCCCAUGGUCCUAACCUUAUCCAAUAAGCAUGGCUAAAGACACCCCACCCCUGAAGUUCAGAAUCUAAAAAAAAAACCAACAGUUUUGGUUUGCAACUUCCUUCUUACGAAAUACAAAGUGAAAGCGUAAACUUACGAGGAGAAGCGUAUUGUGACGGUGAACCCGACAAAGUCAAUCCAUGCUUUAUUAUUAGGGAGAGACUAACAAAAAAGCCCGUGCGUUGCAACGGGUACAAAAUGAAUUUGACAAUUCAUAUGGUAUUUGACUGUUUACCUCCCGUGGUGAACUAUAGCACCCAAUCAGUCGGCUUCUGCCUCGACUUAUCUUUCGUUUGGUGUAAAAUUGCCGGGCAUUCGACAGCCAUGCUACUAUUGAGAUGCAACACUCAUCCUUGAAAAAAAAUAAAAAUGAUACCCCCUCCUAUCUAAAAUAAAAUAAGUGUCGCAGUUUUAAACUGGGUUUAGUUCAAGACUACGAUACUUAUUAUGGAUCGGAGGUGGUAUUACUCAGAUAUGUGUAUGUGAAAGUUGACAUAUAAAAUUUUCACCAUAUAUGAACCACAAAAAUACAUAUGCAGGAGGAACAUUAGUCUACUUAAGAUCACUCAACAUGCUAAUGCUGCUAGCCACACCCUUGCUUGUAUAGGACGGGCGCAAUAGUGAACUGUGUGUUGGCUUUGAAACUUCCCCGAAGAGAUAGUAGCAUAGUUAAGUCUAAAUGUAAUCAUCUCGUUUGAUUAAUGAAAGUUCCUUCUUUCGCAAAAAAAGGAACUGCAAAAAUACAAAAAUACAUUAUUGAUCAAGCUGAUUAGUCAUGGUAUAUACAUGCCACUCAUUGUAGAUAACAUUGAGAAAUUAUCCAAAUUUUAUUGUUGGAUUUGGAUCGAAAUAAACUUAACUUAGGUCUGAAAACUAAACAAACUUCCUUCAAAGUGUGAAAUUAUCUGCGCAUACUCAUACAUGCUCAGUGGAAGCAAACCUUUUAGCAAUAAUGAUAUACUAUCACAUAGUAUCUCUAUAUAGAUCUCUAAAUAGUUGAAAAACACAUGUACAUAUAUUAUUGGCUCUAAGUAAUGCAACGACAAAUAUAUUUACUUCGGAUAGACCUUGAGUUUUUUAUGGAGACGACGACAAGCGUGAGUAAUUGUGGAUAUAGAUUGUGACAGAUGUGGCACUAAUAGAAAAUAAAAAGUAUCUUGAAGUCUAAUUCAGUUUAGUUAAUGUCAAUACUGCAUCUAGCUAUUUGCUUCAUGCACAUAAUGACAUAUGCAUAGGAACACACCUGAGGAUGUGACGUGCUCGAAGUAGUUAGUACUUUUAUCUCGGUCCGCCUGCAGUAAUCAUCCGUACAUGCAUCUAGCUGCUUGCCCUCAGUUGAUAAGCAUGCAUCCAGCUAAUCGUCAUCCGGUGCCCUGAUCACCCAGAUAUUACUUGUGGCAUUGGUUAUAGCGGCGGCGGCGGCGGUGCUUCAAUGUGAUAAAGCCAUCUUUCCUAGAGUUUCCAGUCAAGGAAGACGACAUGGUGAUUUGUGAGUACAGUAUGGGCAGAGGGCGGCGCGGGAACGGUGCAGGCGCUCGACGACGAACGGUAGCCAGAGCAGCGGAUCAGUGGUGGAUCUGGUUUUUCUGGAUCAUGAUCUCGUGGUUGUAUGCAUUGGUUUUCUAGUUCCCAUAUGGCCGUAUUGUUGGCGGUCAGAAGGACCAAUUGACGAACCAGCUGAACGAGCAACUUCGGCCAAUGGCGUUUGAUCGAUCUCAAAGUCUCAAUUGUGUGUUGAUCAGACUGUAUUAUUCACGUACAUGAGAAGAUAAUCAAAUCGUUCCUUCUAAAUCAUGGUUGGCUCCUUGACACGAGCCACCACACCUCAAAAUGGGGUUGCGCGCCUGCGCCGCCGCUGUCUUAGCAGCUCCAAUCGACCAUGGCUGUCCGCUGGACCGGUGGGUUCUCAAAAGCAGCGAUGGCAGCGCCCCCGCGUCCUCGCUUGAUGAGAUGGCUGAUGUGUGCGACCGUACACUACCGCGGUCUCAUGGUCGAGAUGAAGUGCCCCGUCAAAUCGGCCGUCAACCGGCUCCUUCCGCCUCCAGGGGAUCCACCUCCUCCCCUUCUCUCUUUCCUGAAUCUUGAGCCCAUAUUUAUGGGAGGGUCAAGGGAAAACUCCAAACUGAUCGAGAGUCCGCCCUCGUCUUAGCUCUCUGAUUUCUAUUUGUUUGUUGGGCUAGGUGGACCAGAAUAAUGGGCUGCCUAGGUUGAAUCUAAUAUUUGAGGACGCGAGAUGAAAGCUGACGUACGGACAAGUCAAGACGGACGGAAAUUAUAAAAUUUAGUACCACCUUGAAUAUAUUUUAAAUUCAAACUGAAAGCGUAAAAUCACGGAAAGAAGCGUAUUGUGACGGUGAACCCGACAGACCCAUGUGUUGCAACGGGAGAAAAAUGUUCAAUUUGUAUGUAAAAUUGUUAAAUUUAUGUAAAAAAAGUUCAAUGUAUAUUCUUCUAAAAAUACAACGUAUAUCAAAAAUAAAUAAACAUUUGGAAUUGCAAAAUUUGUUCAGGUUUCGAAAUUUUGUUUGAAUUUUCGAUAUUUAUUGACGAUUUUAAAAACGUAUUCAUAUUCAAAUAUUUUAAGGAAAAUCGUCCACACUUGUUUCCAAGAAUUGUUGAAAAUAUUUAAGAAAAAUAAAUAGACCUGUCGCUAAACUACUUUAACUGGGGCGCUGCAAUUUGAGCAUAAUCAACAGCUAGCUCAUGUGGUUGGCGUCCCUGCUACCUAGCGUGAGGUCGCGAGAUCGAACCCAUCAUGUGUGGUUUUGUUUUUCGUGCUAUUUUUACGUUCUUGUUUCCUGGUUAUGGGCCGGCCCGAUUACAUACGCGAGGUUUCAGCCAAAGCUCGACUGGGCCGGCCCGAUUACGUACACGAGGUUUCAUCCAAAGCUCGACUGUUAGAGCUCUCCGGGAAUAGUACCACCUUGGAUUUUUAUUUUGUCUACACGAAUUGUAAAAGCGUAUUACGACAUGAAAAGAAAGCGUAUUGUGACGGUGAACCCGACAAAGUCAAUCCGUGGUUUAUUAUUAGGGAGAGAUAGCAAAAAUGCCCGUGCGUUGCAACGGUACAAAAUGAAAAUGGUUAUAAACUCAAAAUACAAUUUACUAUUUAAAUAAUGUUGCAGGUAGCAUAACAAUAUUAGAAGUAAAUUAAAGUACCAAGGACCAUAUUCUUGACACAAAGAGUGAUAAUUCGCUAAUACUUCAAGAAAGAAAAGAAAUUCCCUGAUGUUAGAAGCAAAAUGAUGCACCUCGUGUUCGUGUUUCACUUGUGAAGCUAACGUGAAGCUGACAUCAAAACAGGAAGUAAAAAAUCAAAGAUAUUAAAAGGCUUAGUAAUCAAAGGAGAUAAGCAACGUCCAACAAAAAGAGAAAACAUUACUAUUCGGAGUAAUUGCGUACCAGUCACGCCUUAAACCAUUUGGUACACAAUGAUUGUCGCAUAUAAGGAGUAAGUAUAUUUCCUUUUUUGCGAAAAACUUUCAAUAUAUUCAUCUUCCAUUAUCUAUUUUCCUUUUUAUUUUAUUAAACAUGUGUACACUGUUUAUCAUGCCUACUUUUCUAGAUCACAACCGAUAUCUUAGCCUGCGUGCCACUUGUAGUAUAUUUCUCUGUCCAACUUGUGGAAUAUUGUGAUUUAAAAAAACAUGUGGAAUAUUGGCACAUUUUGGACCCAUUCCAGGCAUUGUGCAUGAAUGCCGAUUUAAUCGGUCUCUUUAAUUAAUAAUCGGCCUCCAUUAAAUCCAUCAAUCCGCCUUGAAUUAAUUCCUCCAUUCCAUUCCACUUGUAGUAUGAGCAAGAUUUAAUUGGGGUCUUUCUCCCAUAAUUCGGGAUUGCUGCGAUUUGAUCUGGUCUCUCUCCCAUUAAUUUCACCAAACUAUCUCUCUCCCCAUAAUUUUCCCUUUCAUUCCUUCAUAUAUGAGCGCCCGAUUUAAUUCUCCUUUAUAAUUCCUCUUCUCCCUUAAUUCCUUCUUUUUGGGAAGCAUGAUCGCUAUGUAUACGUAUCCUCUCUACUUUUACAUGUAAACAUGACUUGUCUCAAUUGGUGGCAGCGCUCAACAUUGAAGUGGAGGUUGUGAGCUCGAUCCCCUGUGAGCAAUUAUUUUUCUCCACCUUCUUUAUUUUCACAACAGCCUGAUAGCGGGCUGAGGCCCAAUGUGGCGAUGUGGCCCAAGCACUUGACGUAGGAAGGAUUGCGACGGACCGGACCAACCGACGAAGAAAACGUGGAUUUGUAUGCAAACGGAGAAAAUUAUAAAAUUUACGGAAAGCGUAAAUUCACGGGAAGAAGCGUAUUAUGACGGUGAACCCGACAAAGUCAAUCCGUGCUUUAUUAUUAGGGAGGGAUAGAUAGCAAAAAGGCCCGUGCGUUGCAACGGGUGAAAAUCAAUAUCAAACACCCCUUGCCUUUUCGCACCUUAUCCUCUUCCCUGGCGCUUGUCCGAGAUAGUUGUGAUGUCUAUGUGAUCACAAUGCACCCAAAUGUGAUCAAUCUCAAGAUGAUGAGCUGAUCCACAACAUAACACACUGUCUAUGUAGGCUAGCAUUAACUGACAAGCUCAUGCGGAAUCAGUUAUCAUACACGAACAUCAUUAAUAGCUAAUGACCAACAUAUGACAAGGUUAAAAAUAUCACCCUAAGGCCGGCUCCAAUGCAAGAGCGUUUAAAAUCUUGAGCAAAUUAACAUGCACAAUCAUACAACCCUAGCAGCUACAUUGUGUAUACUUUUUUUUAGUGUCCGACUCUAGGUUAUGUGUCUGAGGCCGAAAGUAGCCGGGGUGAUGCAAAAGUUGCCAGGAUUUUAUUCCUAGCGCCUGCAUUGUACAUGCCCUAACCAAGUUUCGGGUGACAAAAAACACUUUUAAUUUUCUGAAAAAAAUGAGAUUGUUUUUUUUGAACUCUUCUUGAUCAUCUACAUCCAUAUGGCAGAGGGCCUCCCAAAGCUCACAAGCAAAAGAGCAAUUGCGGCGAGGCAACAUAUGUUUGUUUCAUUGGGGUCAUUUUUAUUGUGGUGAUGAAGAAGCUCCUCGAUCUGCAUGGGUUGGUUCCGUUGAAAAUUGAGCGCAAUAAAAAUAAAGUUGCUCAUAAUUUAGCUAAUAUUGAUUGCUACAUAGCACCGCUAGUUCGUUGCGCUGGUUUCAACCAGCGUAUCUAAGUUUGUACUAUAGAACACUAUUACAUUUAUCCCACGAAUAAAUUUGUUUGGUGCAGGAAGCAACAAUGAUGACUUGAAAAGAACGUCAAGGAAGUGGAAAAAAUAAAAGACCCUCAACACAAAGUCUGAGUAUGUGAACCAGCCUCCCUUCCAUCAUUUAUCUUUCCUUUUAUCUUUCCCUCCCUUUUCUUCCUGCCUCCAUCUCCUUCCUAAUUUCUGUCCUGAGCACAUAUAUAGAAGGCCUACUCUUUCCUUUUAUCUUUCCCUCCCUUUCCUUCCUUAUUUCUGUGACCUUGCUUCUCUUUCCUUCUUUUUAUUUCUCGUGUAAUUGGCCUCAUCUCAUCCUUCCUCAAUCGACCCAAGGCUGCCUGGUGAUGUAGUAAAACUCACAGGCCUAUAUAAAUUAGUGCACUUUAAUUGAAAGGGGCAAGGUGAGACUAAUUAGUUUGACAAUGAACGUCGUUUCUUUUCUUAGACCAGGCCCAGCUCGGCCCAUGCGAAGGACAAAACAGAUGAGGGACAAAAGGAGCAAUUGAGAUAGGCGCAUGGCCCAGGCUUUGAGAGUUGCAUAGAAAGAAAAAAGAGUUUCUUUUUGUUGCAAGAAACAUCAGCCUUGCUAGCGGCUACGUGCUCUUUCCUAGACAACCCGAGUUCGAAUCCAGACAUUCGCAAUUUUUUUUGGCAUUCCGACAAUGACCUAAAGGAAACGCCCUGGAUCAGGGGAGGAGAUCGGGAUGGACGUGGUCGGACGCGACGCACGUGCCUACUCUGGCCCGUACGGAGGCCCAGCAAAGCGACGUACAGAUUCAGGCGGAAGCCCAACAUAGCGACGUCAUUAAAUAAAAUUAACGAUAACGACGUGGUACGAGCAGAAGCAUUAGUACCAUCUCGCGUAUAUAUUUAAAAUUUAAACUGAAAACGUAAAUUCACGGGAAGAAGCGUAUUGUGACGGUGAACCCGACAAAGUCAAUCCGUGCUUUAUUAUUAUUAGGGAUAGAUUAUAGCACAGAUGCCCGUGCGUUACAACGGGGGAAACUUUUGGUGUGAAUUCAAAUUUAGCGAGAAUUGUUCGAUCUUGUUCAUUUCACCAACUUGCUCCAUGGGCACCUUCUUCUAGUCAAUUUGACAAAGCACCCUUCUUCUGCUCAACUGUGACAAAUUCUAUACCUAUAUCGAUAGAGGAAGGUAAAAAAAUUGAAAAAAAGUCUAGUGCACCUUUUUGAAAAAAAUUAAAAAAAUUAGCUAAAAUCAGGAACCGAGGAAGAAAAUUAUGGAAUGUAGAAACUUUUGUUCAAAAUUGUACAAUUAAAAAGGUUGAUUUUAUCUAAAAAUCAGAUUAAUAGCAGAAAGUUCAAAUAUAAAAUAAAAUAAUUUAAUGUUAGAUUCCCUACUAAUUAAUUUCGUGAUAUGCAUAUAUAUGCCCGCUUUUUAAAUAGGAAGGCAAUCAGCGACAAUAAUUAUCCCCACGUGCAUCUUGCUUUUUUUAGAUCUGCAUCUCCGCUUUUAAGUAGGAAAGCAAUCAAGCUGCACUAAUUAAAUCAUUGCCUUCCCGUGGAGUCAACUUCUUGAUUUGCCUUUUCUUUCUUGGCGUUAUUCCUUCCUUUCUUGUCUUUCUAAUUGCAGAUAAUCAUUUAUUUAUUAGAUUCUCGGGGCAGCUCUGCUUAUUUUUCAGGCAAUUCAUAAGCUAACACAUGUGCGGCUUUAGCCUAGUUGGUCGUGCACGUUGGGAUGAAACGGCAGGUCAUUAGUUCGAUUCCCAUGAAAAUCAACGAAUUUUUGCUGCGCUCCUCUACAAUCUCGGCCCAUAUGCAAGGGCAAAGUCGCUGCUCACAAUCUCGGCCCAUGUGGGGCAAAGCCCAUGACGGAUAGAAAAACUUAAUUUGUCGAAUCUAUACCGAUGGCAACAUUAGUACCACCUCAUGUAUAUGUUUUAAAUUCAAACUAAAAGCAUAAAUUCAUGGGAAGAAGCGUAUUGUGACGGUGAACCCGACAAAGUCGAUCCGUGCUUUAUUAUUAGGGAAAGACUAGCACAUAUGCCCGUGCGUUGCAACGGGAGAAAAAUUGGACAUGUCCUCAAAUUAAGUGAAGAUUGUAUGUGCAAACACAGUUGUUCUUCACUACAAGGAAAGCGUUAAUUGUUAUGUCCAUUAUUUAAAAGUGUGCUAUCCAUUACAAAAUGGUAUUUGGUAUAUCUUUUUCAAUAAGAACGUGUAUUAAUUGAAUAUGUAGUAUAAGGUUAGAUUACCUCGACCCAUAUUUACUCAGGCGUGUGCAAUACUCAGAAAAUUUAGUGUACUGUAUGACAAUCAUGAAACCACACCGAACCAGGACCAUGGUCCAAAAUGUCACUAUCAUCUAUAAUCAAUUGAACACCGACACUAAAAAGGAUAGUGGUUCUAAAAUUCUAAAGAAAAUUUAGAUCCUCUACCAAAUCUGUCAAGACUCCCUGAAAAUAAACCUCCUCAAAGAAGAAGAUGAGAAGGAGAGAAAUACACAGUUACAAGCCAAAGCUUGAUGACACAGCCAACAUUAGAUGCUUGCUCAAGGUUUCCAACAGAUUUUCCCCAGGAAGAGGAGCUCCCAGAACAAACUCAACAAGCUCAAGCAACGACGGCAGGUCCCUAUUACAGCAAGAGGAAAAAAGAGGAAUUGGACAAUGAGAAGCAGCAAACAAUGUUGUGACACAGUAAGCUUGCAAAUAAACCACACUAUUUGAAAUAAUAUACCGCAAAGAAUGAGAAAAUGUGCAUGUAGAUUCGCUAAAGAAAGACUUUUCAAAAGCACAUUUACUCGUGGAGCUAUGCAAAAAAGAAAUUACCUUCCGAAAUGCCACUUAUGUUGCCAAAAGCUAAAAAAAGCAGUGAGCAACGACACUAUUGUUAUCACAGCAUCAUAUAUUCUGCAAAUAUCUCAAAACAUAUACGUCCUAGAGUGAAUAGAAAAAAAAACUAUGACUGAAUGGACCAAUUGUUCCAGCACUCGACUCUAUAUCCCUUGCUGGGUGUUUGUGAUCUCUUAAUUGGGAGUUUAUCUAAAUGAUUGAAUUCUAAUCAGGGAUCAAGACUGGCUCUACUAUCUGCAGGCAAGAAUAUGAUGUUGGCUUGCUAAUGUUCAGGGGAAGAGAGUAGCAUCUAACGCUAGAACUAUGAUCGGUUAGCUCCCAAACUUGAGAAUCAUGUGUGCACUGGCAGCAACAAGAGGAUGUUUCAAAGGUAUGUUUAUUGGGCAUGCCUAUUGACCAUAAUGCAAAUAAAGUUCUGCUUCAUCGCAGUUUGGACUACACAAUAAGUGCAGAAUGCAGCUCUUUAGUGUUUCUACAUAUCUUUAAUGGCACUGAUUAUCUUUCUUGUCAUUAGUUUACCAAGUAAAAUUUAUUAUUGACUUACUUUGGCUGAUAUAUUUGACACAACUAUCUGGAACUUUUCUGUUGUUCUUGAGCCGGCAACAUGACCAGCCUCGGCGACUUUGCUGAAGGCACCAUUGAACCAGCUUGUUCCAGCAGACACAUAUCAACAAGUAGAGGAAAUAAGGGCGAAGGAUCAGCCAUACUGAUAAAGGACAUCAUAUGUUACUCCAAAGGUGCAAAUAUGUUACAAAGGUCUACAUUUCAUCAAGAUACAUUAAAACUUGAUCACCAGAUGAUAUAAAACACACACACAUAUUGAGUAAUUCAACUGUAGCAAAAGCUUGUAAAAGAAGAGACCCGUUGGUUUUCACAGCAGAGCCUGUAUCAUUUAGCUUGCACUCUACAGCUAGCAAAUCAGCCAUUGUUUUGUCAGAAACAUGGAACCUUUAGAUUCAGAUCGGAUAAGUAACAACGACAGUCAACCAAAUAACACUUGUAACUAAAUUAUGCGGACUAACCUGAAACUGCUUUUUAGAUGAGCUAACCUGAAACUUUUAAGCGGACCUGAAACUAAC
This 14868-nucleotide long non-coding RNA is filed under the name Triticum aestivum (bread wheat). RNAcentral's name for it is "long non-coding RNA (TAES_LNC018221)". The record is from RNAcentral. Lineage: Eukaryota; Viridiplantae; Streptophyta; Magnoliopsida; Poales; Poaceae.